Molecule: ribosomal RNA, 504 nt
Filed under: uncultured bacterium
Lineage: Bacteria
Description: partial 16S ribosomal RNA
Rfam family: Bacterial small subunit ribosomal RNA
Source: RNAcentral
GAUGAACGCUAGCUACAGGCUUAACACAUGCAAGUCGAGGGGCAGCAUGACGGAAGCUUGCUUCCGUUGAUGGCGACCGGCGCACGGGUGAGUAACGCGUAUCCAACCUGCCCUUGUCCAUCGGAUAACCCGUCGAAAGGCGGACUAACACGAUAUGCAGUUCUCAGCAGGCAUCUAACGAGAACGAAAUGGGGAGGAGAAGGAUGGGGAUGCGUCUGAUUAGCUUGUUGGCGGGGUAACGGCCCACCAAGGCGACGAUCAGUAGGGGUUCUGAGAGGAAGGUCCCCCACAUUGGAACUGAGACACGGUCCAAACUCCUACGGGAGGCAGCAGUGAGGAAUAUUGGUCAAUGGGCGAGAGCCUGAACCAGCCAAGUAGCGUGCAGGAUGACGGCCCUAUGGGUUGUAAACUGCUUUUAUACGGGGAUAAAGUGGGCCACGUGUGGCUUAUUGCAGGUACCGUAUGAAUAAGGACCGGCUAAUUCCGUGCCAGCAGCCGCCGUAA